GAGGAGGUUGUGCUCAUAUUUUCAUUGGUAUGAUGGGGAAGGCAAUGUACGUGAUAGGAAGGUUAUUUCUGGGCUAAUCCGCAAGCUUGAAGUGCAUAAGAAGAAGGAGAUCUAUUUGACUAGGUGUUGUGUCAUUGGGUGGGGACUUAGUGCAGUUUUUCUGCUUGUGAUUGUAAUGUUGUUGCUGAAAAUUUACCUUAGGAAAUAGGGCUCAUGUCAUGUACUGGUUAGGAAUUAAGCCUACUUGGUUAUGAUGGAAUGUAAUUGGUAGCCUAAUUGCUACUUGAUAUUCUAAUGCAAUGAGAAUUCUCACAGUUUAGUCUAA
RNAcentral lists this long non-coding RNA (325 nucleotides) under Lotus japonicus. RNAcentral describes it as "long non-coding RNA (LJAP_LNC000058)". Lineage: Eukaryota; Viridiplantae; Streptophyta; Magnoliopsida; Fabales; Fabaceae. The record is from RNAcentral.